AGAACCCUACGGGAGGCAGCAGUGGGGGAUAUUGCACAAUGGGGGGAACCCUGAUGCAGCGACGCCGCGUGGGCGAUGGAGUGCUUCGGCAUGUAAAGCCCUAUCAGCAGGGAAGAAAAUGACGGUACCUGACUAAGAAGCCCCGGCUAAAUACGUGCCAGCAGCCGCGGUAAUACGUAUGGGGCAAGCGUUAUCCGGAUUUACUGGGUGUCAAGGGAGCGUAGGCGGCCUGGCAAGCCUGAUGUGCAAUACCGGGGCCCAACCCCUGGGCUGCAUUGGGAACUGCCAGGCUGG
Molecule: ribosomal RNA, 294 nt
Filed under: uncultured bacterium
Lineage: Bacteria
Description: partial 16S ribosomal RNA
Rfam family: Bacterial small subunit ribosomal RNA
Source: RNAcentral